This 220-nucleotide long non-coding RNA is filed under the name Elaeis guineensis (African oil palm). RNAcentral's name for it is "long non-coding RNA (EGUI_LNC015660)". Lineage: Eukaryota; Viridiplantae; Streptophyta; Magnoliopsida; Arecales; Arecaceae. The record is from RNAcentral.
CAGCCGACGAGGUGGAUUUUUGAUGGUUCUCCUAUCCAAAGUCCCUCGACACAGGUAUGUUAGGGCUUGGGAAGAAGGGUUAGGGUUUCUAGAGAAGGUGGCGGCGCUCAGCACGAUCAUACGGUGGCCGUCGGAGAUGGGAAAGAAGGAGGGUGAUAGGGGUUUUGGUGAGGGUUCUAUCAAGAGGUGUGGGGUUUAAAUAGAGGAGGGAUGGGCGAGA